GACGAACGCUGGCGGCGUGCCUAAUACAUGCAAGUUGAGCGCUGAAGGUUGGUACUUGUACCGACUGGAUGAGCAGCGAACGGGUGAGUAACGCGUGGGGAAUCUGCCUUUGAGCGGGGGACAACAUUUGGAAACGAAUGCUAAUACCGCAUAAAAACUUUAAACACAAGUUUUAAGUUUGAAAGAUGCAAUUGCAUCACUCAAAGAUGAUCCCGCGUUGUAUUAGCUAGUUGGUGAGGUAAAGGCUCACCAAGGCGAUGAUACAUAGCCGACCUGAGAGGGUGAUCGGCCACAUUGGGACUGAGACACGGCCCAAACUCCUACGGGAGGCAGCAGUAGGGAAUCUUCGGCAAUGGACGAAAGUCUGACCGAGCAACGCCGCGUGAGUGAAGAAGGUUUUCGGAUCGUAAAACUCUGUUGGUAGAGAGGAACGUUGGUGAGAGUGGAAAGCUCAUCAAGUGACGGUAACUACCCAGAAAGGGACGGCUAACUACGUG
This 497-nucleotide ribosomal RNA is filed under the name uncultured bacterium. RNAcentral describes it as "partial 16S ribosomal RNA". It matches the Rfam family "Bacterial small subunit ribosomal RNA", at positions 28 to 507 of the family's 1533-position model. The record is from RNAcentral.